This 810-nucleotide ribosomal RNA is filed under the name Trychella kermadecensis. RNAcentral describes it as "partial 28S ribosomal RNA". It matches the Rfam family "Eukaryotic large subunit ribosomal RNA", at positions 815 to 1579 of the family's 3401-position model. The record is from RNAcentral. Lineage: Eukaryota; Metazoa; Porifera; Hexactinellida; Lyssacinosida; Euplectellidae.
CCCGAAAGAUGGUGAACUAUGCCUGAAUAGGGUGAAGCCAGAGGAAACUCUGGUGGAAGCUCGUAGCGGUUCUGACGUGCAAAUCGAUCGUCAAAUUUGGGUAUAGGGGCGAAAGACUAAUCGAACCAUCUAGUAGCUGGUUCCCUCCGAAGUUUCCCUCAGGAUAGCUGGAGCCCGAACUAUGUGUGUAGUUUUAUCAGGUAAAGCGAAUGAUUAGAGGUAUUGGGGUUGAAAUGACCUCAACCUAUUCUCAAACUUUAAAUGGGUAAGAGGUGUAGCUUGCUUCAGUGAAGUUGCACAGAUUAAUUUCUCGUUUUGGAAUACAGGGGCUCUUAGUGGGCCAUUUUUGGUAAGCAGAACUGGCGAUGCGGGAUGAACCGAACGCUGGGUUAAGGUGCCCAAGUCAACGCUCAUGAGAUCCCAGGAAAGGUGUUGGUUGAUACAGACAGCAGGACGGUGGCCAUGGAAGUCGGAAUCCGCUAAGGAGUGUGUAACAACUCACCUGCCGAAUCAACUAGCCCUGAAAAUGGAUGGCGCUCAAGCGUUGCACCUAUCCCCGGCCGCCGUGUGGAGAUAGCCAGUGCUGGUGACACGGCGUGUAGGAGGGCGCAGGGCUGUGUGUUGGUAUGCUGUGCAGGCUGGUGCGUGAGCCCGGCUGAAGCUGGCCCUGGUGCAGAUCUUGGUGGUAGUAGCAAUUAUUCAAAUGAGAACUUUGAAGGCCGAAGUGGAGAAGGGUUCCACGUGAACAGCAUUUGGACGUGGGUGAGUCGGUCCUAAGAGAUGGGCGAAAGCCUGGUUAGUAAGGGUGCA